GACGAACGCUGGCGGCGUGCUUAACACAUGCAAGUCGAGCGGUAAGGCCCUUUCGGGGGUACACGAGCGGCGAACGGGUGAGUAACACGUGGGUGACCUGCCCUCAGCUCUGGGAUAAGCCCGGGAAACUGGGUCUAAUACUGGAUAUUACUCUGCGGUGCAUGCCGUGGGGUGGAAAGCCUUGUGCGGCUGGGGAUGGGCCCGCGGCCUAUCAGCUUGUUGGUGGGGUGAUGGCCUACCAAGGCGACGACGGGUAGCCGGCCUGAGAGGGCGACCGGCCACACUGGGACUGAGACACGGCCCAGACUCCUACGGGAGGCAGCAGUGGGGAAUCUUGCGCAAUGGGCGAAAGCCUGACGCAGCGACGCCGCGUGAGGGAUGACGGCCUCGGUU
Molecule: ribosomal RNA, 393 nt
Filed under: uncultured bacterium
Lineage: Bacteria
Description: bacterial SSU rRNA
Rfam family: Bacterial small subunit ribosomal RNA
Source: RNAcentral